This 24509-nucleotide long non-coding RNA is filed under the name Prunus persica (peach). Its description in RNAcentral is "long non-coding RNA (PPER_LNC006473)". The record is from RNAcentral. Lineage: Eukaryota; Viridiplantae; Streptophyta; Magnoliopsida; Rosales; Rosaceae.
AGUAUUAGUAAGAUGAAGAAAUUGCAAUCUUUGUUCUAUAUUGAAUCAGAAGGAAACAUUAUUAGACUUAUUGGAAGUAUGACCCAGCUUACUUUCCUUGGCAUUACAAAUGUGAAAGAAAGAGACGAGGAGGACCUAUGUGCCUCAAUUCAAGAGAUGGAGGUCCUUUCCUGCUUGUAUUUAUAUGUAGCUGAUGGAGAGGAAUUUCUUCGAGUUGACGCAUUGUCUUCACCGCCUCCCUACCUUGAUAGACUUAGAUUGGUCGGCAAACUGGAAAAGGUUCCACAUUGGUUUUGUUCGCUCCACUCUCUCACAUACAUGCAUCUGCAAGGGUCCAGACUUGAAGAAGAUAUACUACCUCAUAUUGAAGCAUUGCCCUCUCUACUUUAUCUUUCCCUUAUUAAUGCCUCUGUUAGGGAAGAGUUAUGUUUCAACAGAGGCUUUGCGAAGCUUCGGCAUUUGUGGUUUUAUGAUCUCGCAUUAUUAACUAAGAUAACUAUAGAAAAAGGGGCGAUGCCAAAUCUCGAGUUCUUAAAGAUUCAUAGUUGCUUGACAUUAGAAACAUUGCCACAGGGUAUUGAGCACCUUACUAAACUGCAACGAUACAGAUUUGAUAAUGUUUCAGAGAAGUUUAGAGAGUCCAUAAAAGAAGGAGGUGUGGAUCAUCCAAGGAUGCUACUCGUCGAUGAGAGAUGUAAGAAAUGUACGUAAGUAUCUUUUAUCCUUUCAUUGACUUUCCUAAACUUAAUGAUUUGGAAUAUUGCACUUGUGUUCAAGAAAUUGUUCUCGUUCACAUCUCUGUUAAUGGAUGUAAAGCCAUAUAAAUUGUUUGUUAAUUACAAUAUUGUUUUUGUCUUUUUAUAUAUUUUGCAGAAACAAGUCCUGGGAUUGAAGAUUUUACUCAUGAGUUUGGGGGUGGGAACUUGUUCGUCUUGUUUUGACCCCAAGAGUGAUCUAGAUUGGCUUCUUAUUUGCUCUUUUGAAAAUCAAACAAUACCCAAGUUGAUGUUCAUAAAAUUGCAGUUGAUGUUUUUGUGUGUGUUUUAAUUUGCAUGUAAUUAGCCCGUAUGUGGCGACUACAAUGUUGAUAUGAUUCAUUUUCUCUUUUUGCUUGAGAUUGUAAUACGUUGAUAGGCUGUCAUGUUAAUUGGUUUUUCCGUAAAUAAUGUGAUCUAGCUAGGUUCAGUCACUCAUGGGUUAGCAAAGUUAUAAAUAAAUAAAAAUUAAAAAAAACAAAAACAAAGCUCUAGGAAACCAUAUUUGGAGUAACAUACAAAAGCUCGUGUAAAAUAAACCAUUAAUAUUAUAUAGAUAUAAUUUAAAAAAUUCAAAAAUAAAUAUAACAUACAAAAUCCAAAAAAAUAAAAAUAAAAAGUAAAGGGAACACAUGCACUAGCACUACAAUUCAAACAUGCAUGAAUAUUGUCUGGCUUUCUUGUUUUACUUUCUUUCUUUUUUCCUUCUACAUAUUUCAGCCCCAAUGAGUUUUACUCCUUUUGUGUGUGGUUGAGGCAAUUAUAGACAAUAUGCUUUCUGUCUUUGGCUACCUAAAAAGUCAAGAAUGAGCCAUGCCUUUUGGUAUUACUUAAACUGAUACUGUGUCCAGGAUUUCAGAUUCUCCAUUCGAUUGGCUAUUCCUUACACAUGUAUGUUGUUAUUUAGAGAGAGAGGGAGGGAGAGAAAGGCAAAGUGUACAAACUAGAAUAAUUGAUAUCUCUCUAGCAAUCCAAGCAUUGAGUGUUGGUCAUUUGAGCUGGUUAUAUCUUGCUCUCUGGCUCUGGCCUUUUACUAAAUCAGGCUCUUUUCUUUUUGCGUAACUUCAGAAACAAUUCGUCGCGCAUUUUCCGUCGCGCGAAGAUCGUGAAGAAAGCCUUUGCGCGACGAGGUAUAACAAUUCGUCGCGCAAAACUGUGCGACGGGUAAACCAUCGUUGCACCAACGGUAUGGAGACGAAACAACUGUUCGUCGCAUAAAAUUUGCGCGACGAUCAAUUAUUCGUCGCACAUAUCUUUGCGCGACGACUGGAAUUGCGCGACGAAAACUAAUUCGUCGCGCAAAACGUGUUCAGGAGACGUAGAUGUUCGCCGCAGAACCAUUCGCGCGAUGAGAAAGCUUUCGUCGCUCAUAUAUUUGCGCAACGAAAAUCUCUGUUGUCGCGCCAGAUAAGAUGCGCGACGAAACAAUUCGUCGCGCAAAACGUGUUUGCGAGACGUAUGCAUUCGUCGCGCAAGAAUUAAAAGUAAUAAAAAAGUUGAUUUUUUUAAUUUUUUUUGUUACAUGCGGGUUUGCGCGACGAAAUAUUUGCCGUCGCGCAAACAUAAUAGUACAAUUUUUUUUAUUUUUUUAUAUUUUUUAUUUUUUAUUUUAAAUAAAAUUGGUUUUUUUAUUGAUUAAACAAUGAAAUUGCAAUAAAAAUAAAUUAGAAUAAAAUUUUGUUAUAAAAUAAAAUAAAUGUAUUACAAAUAAAAUAAAUACACUAAUCAAAUAAUGAAUCAAAAUCAACCGAGUCGUCGCCAGUAUGCGGCUCGGAGGUCGGGGCGUUCACCAGGGCAGUGGUCUGGUGGGGAUGCCCGGGAUGGACGGGCUCGGAGGUCGGCGCAUCAAAAUGCAGGACUGGAAUGCCGGACUGUGCGAGGGACUGCAGAAUGACCGACAUCUGGCUCUGAAGAGUUGCCACCUGUGCUGUCAAAGCAGUGACCUGACUGUUUGAUUGCGCCGAUGAACGAGGUCGAGGUUCCCUCCGCCGGGCAUUCCCCAUCCCUCGACAAUAUGUCCCCGGCCUCCUCCCGAGAGUCUGAUCCAACGUCUCUGUCAAGAUCUGAAAUCCAGCAUCCUGUGGAGGAGCCACAGACUCGAUCGGAGUCUCGGGAGGAAGCUGGGAGGCGGACUCCUGAAGAACCAACUGGCUCCUCUCCACCAUUAUCGUCUGUUGAACAUAACAUAAAAUAUAAAUUAAAACAUGCAUAUAAAUUGAAUGCGUAACAUAAGAAUUAAAAUUAAAUAAUACUUACAUGAAGGGACUCGGCCAACUCAUUCCCGGGUCGAACAUAAACGUCACCAAAGACGUCGAUCUCUGGGAACUUGGACCCCUCCUAAAUUGAACAAGAGAAGAAAAAUAUUAGUAUGAAAAAAAUAAAUUAAUAAAAAUGACAUUAAAAAUGAAAUAAAAAUUUUGUGAUUAUUACCCGACGCCGUGCAUCCAUCCUAUACGAAAAGGGUCUGGAGCCGGAAUGGUGGAGAAGGGUCUUCUUCUUCCUAUUACCCUUAUUCACAUGGGCUUUAUUCUGUUAUACAAAAAAUGAAACGUAUUAGUUCAAAUAUAAAAAAUUAAAUAAUAAUGAAAUAAAAAAAUAAAAUAAACAUUAAUAAGUAAUAAGUAAUAAUUAAAAAAAUACCGCAAAUUCGGGCACUUGAAAAUGAGCGCAGAGCCACUCCCAACUAUCCUCCCGCCCCUCAAGCUCCUUCGGGCAACCCUCCUGAAGAGCGACUUGCGGAUCAUCAUAGGCCUGAAAAUGGUGGUGCAAGUCGCUCUUCCACUGCUUGUACCUCUCAGUGAAGAGUCUGUUGACGUACGUCAACGACUCUUCGUCGAGAUCCUCCAAGUUAUAGUUCGUCUGCAAUCAAUUAAUUAGAUACGUUAAGUAAUAGAAAUAUACACAAUUUUAAAGAAAAAUAAUGAAAAUGUAAGGUACAUACCGACAACUGGCCGCGAACCUCCGCCUUGAUCUCGUCAGGCAUGACCCUCCAAGACUUCCAUUGCAUCGGGCAAUGGGUCCGCACGACGUGGCCAAUGUCGUGGGCCAAGGAGCUAUGCAACUCUGCCGUCGGUGUAGCCCGAUGGCGCUCGUCGUAUCCGAUGCUGAUACGACUGUUGGUCACCCGGGUGACCUUCGCCGUCUUCAGCUGACGACACGGUCCUCGGGUGUUCUUCUUCGCUGCAAAGAAAUAAGGUAUUAAUGUUAAAUAAAAAAACAUUGUCAAAUUUCAAUAUAAAAUUAACAAUACAAAAGUGUAGUUAUACCUGGCUGUGAUCCCGAGGCACCAGUACCGUCGGUCGAUGUCGUGUCGAUGGUGUCGGUGGGCCGGUGCCGCCGCCUAGCACUAGCUGGCUGCGCCACGGAUGACGCAGAUGACACAGGCGCCUGGGACGCCCCGGGACCAACCACCACGUGGUCCAGCAAAGCAGGAGCAGUGGCAGCAGAUGCCGACUGAGCCGGGGGAUCUGAACUCGAUGCAGUCGUCAUCGACCUACCACGUCUAAUCAAGUCUGACAUCUGCACAUAUAAUUUCAUUCAGAAUUUAAACUAAUUAAUUAAAAGCAUAGCCUGACCUAGGGUUUGGAAUUUCGGAGUAUCCGGGACUCCGAUCAACGAUCGGUCGAAUCCUAAACGAUCCUAGAAACACAAAGGUACAACUACGUGAGUUUCAGUUCGAUCCAACGGUCCGAACAUAUCAAACUUGGAAAUCGCACAAUAGGCGAAAUCCGAUCAAGACUCAAACGGCAACAAAAUUCAAAUCUGGGCAAACCUACGCGCUCGUGACAAACAGGGGAUUGCUCUGGGACCCAAUGCCCCACUGCCACAGUAUCCCACCCGCCACCACAUGCGCCGGCAGUGCGUGGGUGUCCAAAGCGAUAAAAUUUGCCGGAAAAUUCUAAAAACUAAGGGCCAAGGUUCCUACCCUAGGUUGAAAACAUUAAUUGGAGCCACUUUUGUUCUGGGACCGACCCCGAAAAAUGGCCGAAAGUGGCCGGAUUUGAUAGAGGCUUACAGUNNNNNNNNNNNNNNNNNNNNNNNNNNNNNNNNNNNNNNNNNNNNNNNNNNNNNNNNNNNNNNNNNNNNNNNNNNNNNNNNNNNNNNNNNNNNNNNNNNNNNNNNNNNNNNNNNNNNNNNNNNNNNNNNNNNNNNNNNNNNNNNNNNNNNNNNNNNNNNNNNNNNNNNNNNNNNNNNNNNNNNNNNNNNNNNNNNNNNNNNNNNNNNNNNNNNNNNNNNNNNNNNNNNNNNNNNNNNNNNNNNNNNNNNNNNNNNNNNNNNNNNNNNNNNNNNNNNNNNNNNNNNNNNNNNNNNNNNNNNNNNNNNNNNNNNNNNNNNNNNNNNNNNNNNNNNNNNNNNNNNNNNNNNNNNNNNNNNNNNNNNNNUGAAUGGCAUUAAUGAACCUGCGCGACGGAAACACUGAGUCGUCGCUCAAAACACUUCUGGCCGCCAAAAUUUGGGGUUAGGGUUUGGCUGAAACUGAAGGGUCUUUGCCUUUGCGCGACGAAGUAAGUACGCGUCGCGCAUAUCUGUCGCGCAAAAUGGCAUUAAUGAACCUUGCGCGAUGGAAACACCUGAGUUCGUCGCGCAAAACACUUCUGGCCGCCAAAAUUUUGGGGUUUAGGGUUUGGCUGAAACUGAAGGGUCUUUGCCUUUUGCGCGACGAAGUCAUGUAAUUCGUCGCGCGAGUUCGAGAUUGUGAUUCGGUUGAAGUUUUCGCUAAGUGUUCAGAGGGUCGAGGGAUUGCGAGACGAAUAGACUUGUAUUGCGCGACGUUUUUAUUCUGUUCGUCGCGCUAGUUCAGAAUUUCAUUCGGUUGAAAUUUUCACUAAGUGUUAAAAGGGGAUGGAGGGGUGAACUGUGUGUCCCAGAUUGCGCGACGAAUGAAAACAUAUCCGUCGCGCAAUCUUUAUGACUUUCACUUUGCGCGACGAAAGGAAUGUUAUUCGUCGCGCAAAACCUAAACCCUAAAAUGUAAACCCUAAGCCGUAAGCCCUAAGCCCUAAACCCUAAACCCUAAAAUAGUUUCAAUGAUCCAACCGGCAAACUUAUUUUUUUUAUACUUGGAGAUCAUAUACGCCAAAAAUCAAAACGACCAAACAUUCAGAUAUCAGAAAACGGGACAAAAUAUUUUGACGGUUAUAAAUGAAAAGUCAUGAUUUAACGGUUAUUUUAAUUCCGAUUUUGAUCAUUUUUUGCAGCAACAUUUGUUGACCCUAUAUGAAUACAAUGACUGAAUUUGAUCUUCAAUUUCAGAUUUUUACACUAGGGGAUACCACAUAAACGUUAAGUUACAUUUUGACAAAUGUAUGAACAAAUUUUUGAGUUUUUGGUGAAUAUACGAUUUUGAUAGCACAUGCAGUCUACGAAACUAGUUUCAGCCAUCCAGCCGUCAAACUUGUUUUUUUAUAAUUCGAGAUCAUAGACAGCAAAAUUCGGCCCAAAAAAACAUUCAGAGAUUAAGUAACGGGGUAAAACUUUUCGACGGUUCUAAAUAAAAAGUGAUGAUUGAACGGUUAUUUGAACUCCGAUGUUGAUGAUUUUUUGCACCAAUAGUCCUACACUCCAUAUGAAUACAAUGAACUACUUCGAUCGCCAAUUUGAAAUAUAUAUGUGUGUAUAUAUUAUACUAUAACGUAACCUAAUAUAUAUUUGCGCGACGAAGUUCUUCUUAUCGUCGCGCAAAAAACCCCAUACGCGACGCAUUCAUGUUCGUCGCGAAAACUAUUGCGACGAGGUUUGUUCGUCUCGCAAAAUUUACGCGACGCAUUUUUUUGCGUCGCGUAUGGUAUUUUUGCGCGACGAUAAUGUGUCUUCGUCGCGCAAGGAUUUGGCGCCAUAACUCCUCCUUUAAUUCAAAUUGUGUAUGCUUUGUAUUUUUGGGAAAGGUUUUGUAUUCAUCAUUUUUUAUGCUUUGUAUUUUUUGGAAAGGCUUUGUAUUUCUUCAUCAAAACCAAACUAAAUUGAUAAUUAAGAUUUGAAUCGACCGAAUUUAUCGGUUUGACUAGAUUGAUGCCACUAAUCAUGAACCAAAGUGAAGAAAAAUAAGUGGCACACAGCUAAUAUUGGAGAAAUAACUUAAAUUUUCUGUUUAAACAUGAAGAAAUAACUAUAUCUCAAAAGAAAAAAAUAAUAAUUGAAGAGGCCUUAAGGCAUGAAUAAAUAAAUAAAUAAAUAAAAACCAAUCAACAAGCAUGGGGUCGUAAUAAGUACUGACUAAAGUAUUGACAUUCCAAUGAAGUUUGUGAUGAAAUAUGGAGAAUGAAUACACAACUACAUAUGGACAACUACAUAUAUUCAAAGAUUUGUAUUACAAAAAAUGAAUACACUAACAUAAUAAAUUUACAAAUAAAUUCAUUAUUCAUCAUCUGAACUAUAAUAACUUUCGUUAUCGUCGCUAUCAUCACUCUCGGUCUCCCAAUCUUCUUCCUCCUCCUCCUCUAUAACCGCAUCAUCGGCGUUGCUAGGGCCCACUGCAACAUCGUAUCGAGGAAGAUCACCGAGGUCAAUUGUAAUUGACUGAAUCGGUAUUUCGACUGAAGACACUCCUUCUAUUUGAAACGGUUCUUGUAUAACAUUUGUAUCUCGAAGUGUUUCCGCAUCAUUUUCCAUUGAAGAUUCUAAACGUUGGUCAGCCACAUUGUCGACGUCGUUGUCACUUGGGUCUAGUUCUGGUAUAUCAUACACGUUCCUAUGAUCCAUCUUCUGCACAACUUUCCACCCGUUCCCGGCUUUAGGGUCAUCUAGAUAUACAAUUUGGGACGCCAUGUUUGCCAAAAUGUACGGGUCGUCAUCAUACCAAGUUCUGUUAAUGUUCACAGACAGUACUCCAUGGUCGAUUUUAACACUUGCCGCCCUAUUUGGGUUGGUAUCGAACCAUCGACACUUAAACAUGAUGACUUGGUAUCGAUCUUUGUAAAGCAAUUGCACGACAGUUGUCAGUUUGCCAUAGAAAUCAAUGUCCGUACUUUCGCCUCCACCUGGGACAUGGACACCGCUGUUUUGCGUACACAACUUGUCAUCUCGUGCGGCCCCCAAAAAUUUGACGCCGUUAACAUUACAACCCGAGAACAAUUCAGCGCGAAUUGGGCCGAACGCCAAGUUAUAUAACUCAUCACUGUAAGUGGGGGAAUUCGAUGAUUUCAAUUUAUUCACCUAAUAGUAUACAAAACCAUUUACAUGUUAGUCUGACAAAAUUAAAUACUACAAUUUAUAUUUGUCAAUUACAAAACACUUAUAACUUACAGAAUCCAAAAACCAUUGUGGAAAUAAUUCACGGUGUUUCCGGGCAGCCAAAUGUGAUGGAUGUUCUCGCUUCAUCAUCUGUUCAUGCUCAUCUAAGUAGGCCAUUAUCUCAUCACAAUUGUUCAGUACGAACCAAUGCGCUACCUCCAUGUCAUUUCUAGAAAACGACUCUCCUCGUCCAGGAUCUCCAAAUGGUCGUGCGCUUUGGGAAAAAACAGAAAGUUUUUCAUCUCUCAUACCUCCGUCAUUAUUGCGUUGAGGACGAUUGAAAACCGUCUCCACAUCUUUUAAAUACAUUCCACAGAAAGUAAGCGACUCAUAUUGAACCCAAGCCUCUAUAAUUGAUCCUUCGGGCUUUGCCCUGUUGCGUACACUUUUUUUCAGCUCUCCGAGAAGCCUGCCAAAAUAAAACGAUAUGAUACAAAUUAGCAAACUGUCGAUAAUGAUGCAUACACAAAUGAUAAAGAUUAUAUACCUUUCUAUUGGAUACAUCCAGCGAUAGUUGACAGGAUCAGCAAGCAAUGCCUCUUCUGGCAAGUGAACCAUCACGUGCUUCAUACUUGUAAAGAAAGCGGGCGGAAAUAUCAUCUCAAACUUGCAUAGGACUUGGACAAUGUCAUGGCGCAACUGAAACAUGUCUGUCCUUCGCAAUGUUUUUGCCGUCAGUUGGGAAAAAAAUCUGGAUAACAACAUGAUUGGCUUCACCACAUCUUCCGGCAGUAGGUGUCGAAUACCCACAGGAAGUAGACGUUGCAUAAACACAUGGCAGUCAUGGCUCUUAAGUCCAGUAAAUUUACCCCCAUCGACAUUCACGCAACGUGCGAUAUUAGAAGCAUACCCAUCGGGAAAUUUGACAGACGAUACAAACUUUAGAAACUCUUUUUUGUCAUUCGGUUUCAUAGAAAAGAAUGCAAGAUCCCUUCUAGCUUUAUCACUGUCCCUAUUCAUCCAUAAACCCCUUCGUAUGCCCAUUCUUUCCAAAUCAAGACGAGCUUUGAUCGUGUCCUUCGUCUUCCCCUCGUUAUCUAGAAUCGUGCCCACCAAUGUGUCGAAUACAUUUUUCUCAACACGCAUCACAUCUAGAUUGUGUCUCAAUUUCAGUUUCGACCAAUAUGGGAGCUCAAAAAACAUAGGCUUGUGCGUCCAGUUCAAAUGUGUAGAAGGUCUGGUCCGACUAACUGUUUUCCCGAACGGAGCAAAAUCCAAACGGUUCAGCUGUUCCAAGAUCUCAUCACCGGACCAUUCUCUAGGUCUGAGGCGACGCUCUGUGUUCCCGUCGAACUCUUUAUCUUUUUCCCGCCAUUCGUGGUCCCAUGGCAACCAUCUCCGAUGACCAAGGUAACAAACUUUUCCUGCGUGCCAACCAGAAGUUACAUCUUCCUUGCAUACAGGACAUGCCAUAUAACCCUUUGUGCUCCACCCAGAAAUCAUUGCAUAUGCUGGGAAAUCAUUCACAGUCCACAUAACUGCUGCCCGCAAAGUGAACAUCCUCCCAGUUGAUUUAUCGUACGUGCGAACACCGUUUGUCCAUAAAUCCUUCAGCUCAUCAACCAGAGGCCUUAAGUACACAUCAAUUGACCUGCCAGGAUCCUCAGUUAUCAAAACAGUCAUCAUCAUGUAUUCUUUUUUCAUGCAUUUCCAAGGCGGCAAAUUAUAUGGGAAUGCGAAAAUCGGCCAAGUGCUGUGGUGUUGGUUUAGAACCCCAUACGGAUUGAAUCCGUCAGUGGCAAGUCCCAAUCUAACAUUUCGGGGAUCAGCAGCAAACUCGGGGAACGUUCGAUCGAACUCUUUCCAUGCCUCCCCAUCUGCAGGAUGCCGCAUCACAUCAUCGUCUACCCGUUUUUCCUUAUGUCAUCUCAUGUCUGUGGCAGUAUGCGUCGACAUAUACAAUCUCUGCAACCUAGGUUUAAGGGGCAGAUAACGCAUCCUUUUUUGUGGUAUCUUAGUCGUUCUAUUCUGGGAUGUCAUUUUGAACCUCGACUCAUUGCAUAUAGGGCAUGUAUCCAACGUUUCAUGCUCUUUGUAGAAUAACAUGCAAUUGUUUUUGCAAGCGUGGAUUUUUUCAUAACCCAAUCCAAGACCAUGCAACACCUUCUGUGCAUGUUUAUGGUCUUUCGGCAAACAAUUGCCCGUCGGAAGCAUUCUCUUGAAAACCCCCAAAAAGUAAUCGAAAUACAAGUUCGACAUACGAUACUUUAUUUUUCUGUGCAUUAGCUCCACAAUGGCAGUGAGAACGGAAAAGCUCUCGCACCCCGGGUAUAACUCUUGGUUGGCAUUUUUUAACAGUUUUUCAUACUGUUCAAACUCCGCACUGUCUAUUGGUGUAGGCACGUCAUAUUCCCCUUCCUGAUUGAUGCUGGUCGAUGCGAAUGGAAAAGCAUCCUGUAUAAUACCCAUGACUUGAUCAUUAGGAUCCACAAUAGGUUCAACAUUGUCCACUCUUGGGGCAUUUGAAGACGAAGCAUGGUCUACUUGUUCGCCGUGAAGGUUCCAAAUGCUAUGUGUUUCAAUCAUUCCAUUCCUUACUAAAUGAAAUCCAACAUUUUCAAUUGUCUCAAACAACGUGUUGUUACACCUCCUACAAGGACAACGGAUUCUAGUUGCACCCGGGUUCUGUCUACGUGCAAACUCAAUAAAAUCCUCGAUUCCAUCCAAGUAUUCGUCUGCGCAUCUAUUCGGGUUAUGUAUCCACCUUCUGCUCAUAAUUCCUGAAACCACAAUCACGACACAACAAUCACAACAACUUCAUACGAAGUUAUAAUGUCACCUUAUGCCUCCGGUAAGGGCCCUAUCCCAUUCGGGAAUGCAUAGUCCUGUCACGUAACCUACGGCUACAUGAGAUUAGAUUUCGACGUGGAUUAAUUUCGGCAGCAUCUCGACACAGUUCUUAAAGUGGGCAUAGGUAUAAAUACCUACGUACCACCCGAAGAACGUACCGAGAUGACACCGAAAUCUCCACAAUCGAAACCUAAUCCUGUAGCCGAAGAUUAUGUGACAACACUAUGCAUUACCAAACUGUCCAAGUAAUGGGACAAUUCAAGAAUUAAUUGGACCGCAGUCAUGCCUUACGCAUCCAUGCACGAAAUCCAACUAAUCUCGAACGGGAAACUACGUGUUACUAAACAUAAAAAUAAAAGUACGAAGUUAAUUUCAAUUAACUUCGUACAUCACAACACAUUGUGCUACGUCACGCACAAUUUCACAACAUUAUACACAUAAAACUUGACAAAAAAAUUACAAACUUAACAAACAAACUUUUACAAUGACAUACCUUCUCAAUCGUUCUCCACCAAUCACUAAUCACAAAUAUCCCUAACGAGAACAAAAUUAAUAGCAUUAGUACGAAUUUACAUUAAUACAUUUAAACUAACGACAAAAAAUACAUACCUAAUAAACGUACAUAAUUCACAGCAGAGCAGCAGCAGGGAGGGAGAGUGAGAGAGAGGCAGAAUGCAAUUUUUGCAUUCUGCCUCUGCAAUGGCAGAUACAAAUAUGAAGAAGAAGGACUUUGCGCGACGAACAAGGCAAAUUCGUCGCGCGAAACGCCGUCGCGAAAACCCACUUUUCCGUCGCCCAAAACAACAUUUCCGUCGCGCAAUCACGUGUCGACAACUGAUUUUUUGCGCGACGAACAAAAUUAUUCGUUGCGCAAAAUUCCGUCGCGCGUUUACAAUCCGGCGUCGCGCAAAGUGCAACUUUCGUCGCGCAAAUAAAACUUUUUCGUCGCGCAAGAACGCACCGCGAUUAAACUUUACGCGACGACGGCACUUCCGUCGCGCAAAAACCCACCUGCAUAUUGGCGCCAAAAAUAAGUUUCCCUCGUUUUCUUACGCGACGGUUGAUUUUUUUCGUCGCGCUAAGUUGUCUUCUGAGACGAAAACUCUCGUCGCGCAAAAUUUUUUUACCGCCAUAAUCGGAGCCAAUAUUCUGUCCAUCUUUGCGCGACGAAUACCUGGAAUUAUCGCGCAAUAUAGUCAUGCGCGACGAUCUCUGUCGUCGCGCAAGAGUUUGGCGCAAUAACAUAGACUUUACAACCUUUGCGCGACGACAUUUAUUUACGUCGCGCAUAGACUCUUUCCGCGACGAAAUUAUUUGUCGCGCUAGUUGUCUGUUGUAUGCGCGACGGAAUCUUUUUUUCGACGCAAAAGUGCUCCUUGCGCGACGAAAUUGUCUUCGUCGCGCAAACUUCCAUCGCGCAAAUAGUAAAUCGUAGUAGUGAACAGCUUAAAGUGGCAUCUAACAAACAAUUCUUUGUUAGAACCUAUGAAGAUGCGCAUCUUGUUGUUUAGUUUUAAUGAUUUGCCAUACCGAUUGAAGCAAUGCUUUCUAUAUUGUUCCCUUUUCCCUGAAGAUCAUGUGAUCAUAAAUAUAAGGCUCAUUAGAUUGUGGAUCGCUGAAGGAUUUGUUGAACAUGUCGAAGGGCUCACGCCAGAAGAAGUUGCAAAUAGCUAUCUUACGGAACUCAUUUUUCGUAACAUGCUACAGGAAAGGUUUCUAGGAUCCAUCCCAGCAUGUAAGAUGCAUGAUCUUUUGAGGGAGUUUGCUCUGUCUAUAGCAAAAAAAGAAAAGUUUUGUGCUAUACAUGAUGGGAGUGAAACUGGGGCACUCUGUUUGUCAAUUCAAACAACUAAGGGGGAAAUUGGAUCAUGCACAGGUAUAUCACGGCUCCGUUCGUUUCUUGUCUUUGCCACUGGAGUAUCCUCAUUCUCUUUCUCAAAUAAAUUACCUUUUGACCUUAAAUUGUUGAAGGUUCUAGAUUUGGAGUAUGUCCCCACAACUACAAAAAAGCAAAAAGACGACGGUAAAUCACCGUCGUGUAUUGGGUUUUUCAAUGGUCGUGGAAUCCACCGUCAUCUUUUCCCUCAUAAACCACGACGCUAAAUAACCGUCGUUGUUAAAAUAUACAACGUCAUCAACAAAUACAAAACGACGUCUUUGUACUGCAAAAAGAUCUAAAAAAAGCAAUCGAGGAUGAUAAUAGACGACCAACUCUCUAAAAAAACCGUCGUUAAAAAGGAAAAAUAUGACACAUAUUAACAGAACAAGGCCGCAAGAUAGACAUACAACGACGAAAAUACAAAUACGACGACGUUAAAUAUAAUUUUCACGACAAUAAAAAAUAUGACGUCUUUAAAUACAUUAGAAGACGACGUUAUUGAUACCUACUACGUCGCAUAUAUAAAAACAACCGUCGUAAAAUUAAUUUUCCACUUCGAUUUUUCGAUAAAAGAUGACGUGGAAAUAGUUGUCAGUGUCAUUAUUUACGACGUAUAUGUUAAUAGAGUAGACGUUGAAAAACUAAACAACGUCGGUUACAAAUAUAUGAGAGUCGUAUUACAAAAUUUAUACGUCCUAUUUUCAGAAACAAACAACGACGAUAAAUAUUAGACGUUGUUAAAUAAAACAACGUCGGAAAAAAAUAAAAACAGACGUGUUUAGUCUGCUAAAGUUCUAGAAAAUAGUCGAGGAUGAGAAUAGACGACCAACUCAAAAAAAUCACCGUCGUUAAAAAGGAAAAAUAUGACACAUAUUAAAAGAACAAGGCCGCAAGAUAUACAUACAACGACGACAACUAAAAUACUACGCCGUUAAAUAUAAUUUACCCGACAAGAAAAAAUAUGACGUCUUUAAAUACAUGAGAAGACGACGUUAUUGAAAUCUACUACGUCUCUUAUUUAUAAAAAACCGUCGUGAAAUAAAUUUUCCACUUCGAUUUUUCUAAAAAAGAUGACGUGGAAAUAGUUGUCAGUGUCAUUAUUUACGACGUAUACAUUUAUAUAGUCGACGUUGUAUUUAUAUGUAUUCAUUACUCACGACGCACUUAAUAAUAUAGACGACGUUGAACUUCUAAACAACGUCGGUUCCAAAUAAAUGAGAGCCGUAUUACAGAACAUAUAGACGGCGUAGAUUAUGAUGAGAGCCGUAUUACAAAUAACGUCGUUUAAUUAUUAUUAGACGGCGGUUAUAAUGAAUUUCCGUCGGAAUUCAUUUCGUUCCUCUUCGUUUAUAAAAGAACUUGCGACGUGGAAAAUGUAUGAUGACGUCGUAUUUUUUAACGUUCAGAUUAUAUAUCUCGUUUUUUAGACGUCGUUAUUAUGGGAUUGGAGUCAUGUUAUUUUGAAUUACAUGGCGGUUCUUAAUCCUUCCCCGACGUGAUAUCCUGGAUAAUUGCUUCACAAUAGCGUCGUGGUUCUUCAUUGUUACGUUGCUUUAAGACGUCGGUAAAUAUGUUGAAUAAAUGGUUCACCAUAACGUCGUGUUUUAUUUGAACAGACGUUGUUUUUUAUGCAGAAUAUAAUGAUGUAAUCUGGAUCCAGUAUUUUUUGCACUGAUUGUUUUGUGGCCAAAACCUGUAUAAUGAAAGUGAAGAAAUCACAUUACAAUAUAUUAUAAAAUGAAUGUCAUACACUGCCAAUUACAUAAGCAUCAUUCAAUCCAUAUAUCUUCACACCCACCUCGAAUAUUUUGAGCACCUAACUCACCCACCAGUUCAUCAAAUGUGUCAACAUUUGGCAUCCCUCUAGUAAAUGGCUCACACUCAAUUAUCACAUCACCUAAGACUUCAUCACCAAUAACAUCAUUAUAUUCUCUAUUAGGCAUUGAUAACACUACCGACCAACCACGAUGCAUCGGGUCGUCAACAAAAAAUAUUUGUUUGACUUGAGAAGCCAAAACAAAUUGGUCAUUCCUAUGUCCAAUUUUACUCAAAUCUACAAGGGUAAAUCCAAGUUCGUCGACUACAAGACCAGAACUAUCUAUCCAAUCACACCUAAAGACUGGGAUUGUAAACUUUUGGUAGUCAAGGUCCCAAAUUUCUUGAAUGACACCAUAGAAACCCAUAUUUGAGAGAAUUGGAUUUUUAUCCUUGGCACUAGCAACUUGCAUGGUAUGUGCAAGUAAAUAAACUCCACUAUUUUGAGUUGUCCGCACAUCAUCUUGUGCCUUGAUAUUGAAUUUAAUACCUUUAAUAAGAUAGCUCCUAUAUAAUGGCACUGCCAUGUUUGGACCAGCUGCUAGCCAUCUUAAAUUUUCUGAUACGCCAUUAUUGUCUUCCUCAAGUUCACUUUGAACCUGCAAAUUAAUCAAAUCUUAAUUCAAUCUAACAUAGAAAUAAGAAGAAAAUUAAAAGAGAAAUAUGUUAUUCAACAACAUAUACCUUGAAGCGUAGCCAUUGAAUGAAAGUGCUAUUGUGCUUAUCCUGCAGCCACUUUGUUCUCUUUCUAAAUUUUGGAUAAGCAGUCUUGAUGACUUAUCCAUUCAUAUGCCUUCGAUCUUCUAUCCGAGUGCAUCCAUGACUUAUCCAUCUCCGACACUAUAACCUAUUAUCUAUAAUAAAGUGAAAAUACAGGCAAUGACCAUCACUAUAGCAGAUUAUACAAUGAUCUAAUCGCAAGUAAUACACAACAGAGACGACGGGUUUUAAACAAAAACAGACGUAUUUGGCAUAUAUAGACGACGGAUUUUCAACAGACGUCGUCUAUUAUAAGUAAUACAAACGACGGUUUAUGAAAAAACCGUCGUGUACAAGUAAUACAACGACGGUAGUGUAAAAAAACCGUCGUGUAAUCGUCGUCGUAUGCCUUAAAAUUCGUCGUGUCUCAGUUUAUUUUCAAGAACACAAAACCCAUUAAGAACACAAUAUAUAUAUGAAACCAAGCAAGAAACCAACAUAUACAUGAAACCAAGCAUGAAAACAAUAAAUCCAUUCCCAAUUCAACAUAACAUAGGGUGAUUAAAAGAUACGACAAAAUUAAAUCCAUUCCCAAUUCAACAUAACAGAUAAUGUAAUCCAUGAACCCAUUAAACAGAAAAUCCAUGAACCCAUACCUAUAAGCACAUUAUUAACAGAUCGCAAAGCAUACACAUAAAACCCUUUAACAAAACAACCUAAUAUCAUUCAAUGAAUUUACAAGGGGAAGAUAGGGUUUGUACUUAUAGGUUGGACGAGCUCACAGAUUCGACGGAGCCUGGAGAGUGCAACUUUUAAUUAGAGCAGAAGUGAGAGCGAAAUGUUAUGUCGCGCGAAAUCUGAAAAUUUUAGGUUUCAGGGUUCGAAGUAUAAGAAUAAGAGCCAAAUCUAAAAAAAUUUAGGUCGCGCGAAAAUUUUUAGAGCUCGCGCGUUUUAAAACGUCGAAAGAAAAACCAAGGCGAAAGUUCUACAAGUACCGACGUAAAUUUAAUAUUCCACGACGGAAACUUCAUUUUUCGGAUUAAGAACGUAAGGCCGUUCAUUUUGAAGCUUCAUUUUUCGGAUUAAUUUUAAAUUUAUUUUGAAUUUUUUAUAUAACGACGACUGAAAAACCACGUCGGUGUUAAGAAAUUAAAGACGUUGUAAAUUAUAUAAACUGACUUACAUAUUAAAAUGACGUCGUUUAAAGCGUAAACCAUGUCGUAUGUUUUACUGUACGACGUAAAAUAUGUAUUCCACGACGCAACCACCGUCGUUAAAAAUUAAUACCCUAAACCCAUAAAACUAAAUUAUACAAUUUAAAAAAUUAAGUUUAUAAAAGGUUUAUGGUUUUAAAGCCUAACAUAUACCCUAGACUACCCAAAAAUUAUACUUUAAAAAUAAACCCCAAUAAAUAACAACCCUAAUCUCUAAACCCUAGACUCUAAACCCUAAACCAUAAAACUAGAAGUGAUUUUAUGACUCAUCAAAACAAUUUUGUUUUGGAUGGUCAUUUUAAAUUUUUGUUAUUCAAAAUGAAUUUUUUCAAGGUUUAUGUGGAAGAAAAUAUAUCAAUGACUUCAUAGGAGUUGACUUUUCAAUUUUCUGAUUUAUUUUAAAUUUAUUUUGAAUAUUUUGAUAUAAAAAUAAUAAAAUAUUCUUACCACAACAACAAACCACGUCGGUGUUAAUAAAUUGUAGACGUUGUAAAUUGUAAUAAACUACUAAGUCGUUAAAAUGACGUCGUUAAAAUGAGAAACCAUGGCGGCUAUUUAACUAUACGACGUAAAAUAUAUAUUCCACGACUUAACCGCUGUCGUUACAUAAACGUCGUCGAUGAUACCCUGAACCCUUAAGAAAUUGAAGAUGUUGUAAACCAUAAACGACUCAAUUGUUCAAAGAACGUCGUCUAACUAUAUUUUUACGUCGUAUUUGUUUAAAACACGAAACAACAAAAUACGACGGUUUUUGACUUUAUUAGGUCGUUGGAAAAGUAUUACACGUCGGUUAAGCAAUUUGUAUGUUUGUUUUUUUUUUAAUUUAAGAAAACCUCAACAAAUUUUUACAUUACAUAUUAUAGAGAAAAUUUGUACAUUAUACAUAAAUAUCAAGUGUUCAAUAAUUGCCCUGUUUAAUAAUUUGGAAAACAAACUCUGCCCAUUCAUUCCGGACUUCAUCAAUGGCUUCUUGGGGGUAUGAAGCUUCCUGGUUUCCCUUGGCAUACUGCAUAAACAAUGACUAUUAGGGUUUAUAAAUAAAAAGAAAUUCAAUCACAAACGACGAUAUUUUUCAUAACCGACGUAGUAUAUCCAUUCAACGACGUUAAUUUUACAUGACCGUCGUUGAUAAUACAAAAAACGACGUGAAAUGUAUGAAGGUAAUUUCUUCUUACCUUAUACUCAAACCCCAAGGAAGGAUCCAUGAUGAUGUCCCUCAUGAAGCGCAUCACAUAAUACCCGCAUUCGACAUUGCUGGGUUGCUUUGGUGUGCCUGAGAGAGUUUUCCAAAUUACAUUUUUACGUCCUGCUCGGGCUAUGUGGGUAUUAUAUAUUUUUAAAGCAUUGUUCACGAUGUUUUUCGCCUCUUCGUCGACCACACAAUGACCUGGCAGAGGAUCCAGAAAAUAGACGGUCUCCUUCUUUGCUCUUACAAUCAGCAAGAUCCAAUGACGGCUGCACAAAAUUAAUAUAAAAACGACGGUUAUUUACAAAAACGACGUAUUAUAGUAUUUCACACGACGAAAUAAAGUAGAUAACGACGACAUUAUAUAUUUAUCACGACGAUAAAUAAAUACCGACGUGGUUAGUAGUUUCAAACGACUAAAUAAAAUAAAACACCGACGUGGUUAGUUUAUAAGCUGUCAUUUAUUGAAAAUCAUAAAAACAAAAUCCUAAGGAGACUAACCCUGGAUUGUAAGGCAUCAUGAAAAUCUGUUCACCGUCUGUCUUCUGAAGUCGAGCUGCUACCAGUCGUGAUCUUUCAGUUAUUGUGCCAGAGUUGGCACUAACUGUAGCAGGGUCGAUAAAGCCAACCAUGCUGCACAUAUUGGCUUGUUUCAAAACAUCGUGUAAGUACCUAAAUACAUAAAAUAAUAUAAACAAGUCAGCACAAAAAAACACGACGGUUAUGUAUAAAAAAACGACGUAUUAUAAUAUUUCACACGACGUACUGAAAUAGAUGAGGACGUUAUAAUAUAUUUAUCACGACGGUAGUUAGUUAAGACGACGUGGUUAGUUAGUUAAGACGACUCAAUAUAUAAACCAACGAGGUAUUAUUUUAGAAGUACAAACCUCAUAUAUACAGCCAAUACAGUAGCUCCAAUUUCUUCCGUGCCUGCAAAUUGUGUAAUAUCUUCAGGCAGGAGGAAGGUAUCGCGCUCACCACCAAACACCUCCUUAUCAAUUGUAAAUUGGAGUGUCUUAUCCUCAGGAAGGAGUGUCGUUUCCAAAAAACGACAAAGGGUUUUUAAAGAAGAUGGCGCCUCCAUAGUUGAAUAAUCACCAACUUCAAUAACCUGUUUAAAGAAAUAAAAAAAAUGACGUGGUAAUUCAAUAAAGACGACGGUUUAAGGAAUAAAACGUCGUCUUAAAAGUAUUUAAACGACGGUGAAAAAACUGUCGUGGUAAUUCAAUAAAGACGACGGUUUUAUGAAUAAAGCGUCGUCUGAAACCAUUUAAACGACGGUGCAAAAACCGUCGUUUAAAUAUUUUAUUACGUCUUAAAAAAAUUCCGCCGUCUAAGUUGUAAACAAACGACGGAUUAAAUAAAAAUAUCGACGUCUGAAAUUUUGAAAAACAAAUAAAAAAGGCAAAGUUAUGUGAACAUACCUUGUCGUCAUGCUUUUCUUCAUCUUCUUUCUCCUUUUCUUCUUCCUUCUCUUCAUCUUUUUUUUCUUCUUCCUUCUCUUCAUCUGGCUGAUGUUUCCCCAUUUUGGCAGUAUCAUCCUCCAAAUGUAGGGAUCUCACAUCACCUCCAGAGCAGCUAGCUUUGUCAGACAUUGGAUUUUUGGGGCUUUGGCUAAUUCUUGGUUUAAGCAUGCUUGGAUCAAAAUUGGGAAUUAAUUGGGAAAGCUGACUCAGGAAAUGCUCCCUCUCAGCCUCUACCAAUUGUUUUGUCCUAGCCUCCAUCCUUAAGGCCUCUUCCCUUGCCUUAGCCUCCAUCUUUUUAGUCUCUUCUUGAAGGAGAACUCUUAAACUGUCCUUCAAACGGUCGUCAAAGCUCACCCUCUGUGGUUUGGGCAAAUUGAAAUAUUGCCUUGGGGAAACACCAGCACCAACUCCCCUCACUCUGCCUGGAUGCUCGGGGCCCAAAGCCAUGGUCAGCACAUCAUUGCUGCCAUCUACUCUGACUUUGCCUUCCGAGACUUGUUUCUGCAAUUCAUCCUAAAACAAAGAUAAACAAAAAAAUACACGACGGUUAUUUAUGUACAAACGACGUAUUAUAUAAUUUCACACGACGCAAUAACGUAUAAACCGACGUUAUUAUAACUUAUCACGACGGUAGUUAUACCGACGUGGUUAUUUAUUUAAAACGACGAAAUGAAUAAACAACCGACGUCUUAUGCUAUAAUUAAAGAAAACAGAGUAGUGAUUCCUAUUUAGACCGUUAACGACGUUUUUAAAAAAGUUUCGACGUGGUAAUAUCAUUCACACGACGCGAAAAUGAACCACCGACGUCUUAUGCUAUAAUUACAGAAAACAUAGUAGUGAUUCCUAUUUAGACCUUUAACGACGUUUUUAAAAACUUGUCGACGUGGUAAUAUCAUUCACACGACGAAAAAUAUAACAUACGACGUAAUAAGAAUAUUUCACAGUUUAAUAAAAAUUUAAAACAGAGUGAUAGUAGGCUUACAAUUAAUUUUGCUUUCUCUGCCACCUUUGGAUCAGGGAUGUUACCAUGUUUGUCCUGUCUAGCUCUCUUCCAUAAGGUAGAUCGAUCAAUUUCUACCCCAGGCAUGGUUUCCUCCAAUUGAUCCUCCAAUCCAGCAUAUCCUUUUCGAGACAAUCGAUGAUUGUACUCGAGUUUCUCCCUAAUCUGUGCAUGUUGAGAAUGCACAGACUCAAAAUCUUUGGAUAGCCUCGAAGCUACAAAGGCAUCCCAUUGUGCUUUCUCUAUGAAUUUAUAUGUUUCAGGGGGUUGGCUUAAUUUCUCCCUGUCAUUGGUGUAUGGAAGGAUAUAAUGCCUCGUUAGUGUAGACUUGAAAUCCUUCCCUUUCUUGGCAGCAGAAGCUAAAACAGAGGUCUUACCCCCUUGGCCUACGACAAAAGCCAUGUCAACUGCUUCCCAAAUCUGCUCCUUUAUAUCCUUGGGGAUUUGGGACCAUUUCUUGUCCACAAGUGGGAUCCUGGAGCGUGCCAACACACCAAUAUACGACUGCAUCUCAAUAUGUGCUUGGCCAACACCUUUCCCCCUUUUAUUGUACUCAACAAUUGGCCUCAGUUUCUGAAGCUUUCUCUUCACAACACGAGGCAUUGUGCUCAUACCUCGACCAGUCUUUGAAUCAUCAGAGAUUGUUGUCUGGCUGGUUGGUUCUGUCUCAGCAGAUGAUGAAGCAAACUUCAUCUUCUUCGAAGACUUCAUCUCCUUCGAAGACUUGUCUUGAGGAGCUACCAUUCCAAGCUUCUUGGAGCCAGAAUCCUUAGUUUGUUGUUGAGAAACCAUUUUAACAGACAAAACUGCAAGUGAAAAUAUUUCAGGAAAACAUUAAGAACACAAACGACGGUAUUAAAAAAAUACGACGUAUGAUAUGAUUUUAGACGACGCAAUGAAAUAAUCUCAGACGUAAUAAAUGUUUAAAACCAUUAUUUAUAUAACGUCGUGGUAUAUAUGUUCACACGACGUCAAUAGUAAUACACCGUCGUGGUAAAACUAUUAUUUAUAUAACGUCGUGGUAUUUAUGUUCAUACGACGUCAAUAGUAAUACACCGUCGUGGUAUUAACAUUCACACGACGUAAAACAAUAAGAUAUUUUGUCGUCUACAUUAGAUACCAACCCUAGUUUCUUUUUCUUUAUAUUUUAUCAAAUAAGGGAAAAACAAAAACCAUUGUUCAGAGAAAUCAAACCUGCAAUUAAACAAGCAUAUAAAAAAAGACUAUUAUUUUAAAAACAACUUUGUCAAUUUUCAGACGACGCUAGAACAACUGACGAACCGUCGUGGUCUACCGUCGUCUUAUUUAGUUGAGGUAGUUGUCUUCAAAGUUGGAAACUUUCCCUCUUUGUCUGUAUAUUUUAUCAAACUUGGAAAGAAGUAAAAUGAUUUUGGCCAGAAAAAAGGUAAAAAGAUUUUUCAAACAAAAAACGUAUGAGCAUGCAAAACAGUAACCAAAAUAGUGAAAAUGAAAGCUUACCUUUUGCGUGCAAUGAAAGCAAGAGGAAGAUGAUCGAUGUUUAAGUUCAGAGACGACGAAGAAGACGAGAGGAAGACGAUGAGAAACUCUGACAAUGCUCUGACAAGGAAAAAAGACGAAAAGGUUUCUCUGGGAGAUUGAAAUUUUUAAUCGGGUUUGGAAACAGUGCAUGUGUAAGUCGAAAAGUUGCUUACAUAUAAAACCAUUUCAAAAAAAUAAUACGGCGGUUACAUUUAACUACGUCGUUUUUAACUAACACGACGCAAUAUUUUUCGUUCGACGUGGAAUCAUUUCAUUUAACGUCGUUAGGUUUAAUAUAACCGACGUGGAUUUUAAUUUUUAAAUUAUGAAUAGAAUUUUUUUUCCCGUGACCUUUCAGUUUAUUUUUCAAUUACAGUGCGUUAUAAAUAGAGUUUUUUUUCCUGAGGAAAUUUAAAACGAAGGAAAUUAAUAUUCUGCAAUAUGUAAAGUUUCUUUUUUGGAUGACAGAUUUAAAUAAAAUAAGAAUAUAAAAACAACGAAUGUGUAAGUCAAGUAGACGAAAAGUUGCUUACAUAUAAAACCAUUUCAAAAAAAAUAAUACGGCGGUUACAUAUAACUACGACGUAUAAAGUACAAAAUACGACGGUAAAUUUAACUUCGGACGUGGUAAAUAAAUACGACAGUAGUGUUGUAGGUACCGUCGUAGUAAACUCAAAAAUUAAAGUACAUAAGUAAUAACUCGCGUCAUGGUAGAUUAUUUAAGACGUCGUGAUUAUUAAUGUACCGACGUGGAGUUCUGUAAUAUACGUCAGUAAUACCGAUGUUGAUUUUACAAUUUAAACGGCGGUUUUUUGGUAAGGACCGCCGUUGGUUUUAAAAAUUUAUUCUAUAAAUUUGUCGCUUUCAUUCAUUUUCGCGGUUUACAUUUAGGGUUCCAAGUUCUUCCUCUCUCAGAGACACUGUCUCUCACAUCUCAAAGACAAUAAUUUGGAUGUCUUUCUCAAGAAGAAGCUUGUCAACUAGCCUUCUCACUUCCUUGAUCAAGCCUGAUAGGACACUUAGUGCUUCUGAAUACUCCUUGCUUUCCAUCAAAAGAGAUGCAAGCCUGGCCUCCACUCGCUGUCGAAGGAAAGUUCGCUUCUCAGGGAAAUCUGAAGAUCAGAUGUGCCUGAUCCUCUGCUUGAUUUUCUUGCCUAAGAAGAUUCGUCGGAUUUGUGAUAGCCUCUUCCUUUAUCCGUAGAGCUUCAGAAGAAGAAGAUGGGUUUCAAGAAUGCGAUAAAGAAUAGAAAUGGCUUCAGAUGGCCUCUAAAGCAUGAGCAAUUGAAUCAGUAGUUUCUGGGAGAUAUGAUGAAGACAUUGUCAAUGCUUUGAACUAUACAAGUCCUGCAGAAAGAUAAAGGACCAAACUGUUAAAGAAACUGAAACAACGGCGGUUUUCUGUUCUACCGUCGUCUUUUCUCGUCGUCUAUAUUAAGGUAAGAUGGCGGUAGAUUUAUAAUUACCGACGUAGAUUAUUUUGUUAAACGUCGUUAAGUGUACUACAACCGACGUGGAUUUUAUUUUUAAAUUAUAAAUAGAGUUUUUUUUCCCGUAUUCUUUCAGUUUUAGUUUUCAAUUACAAAGCGUGAUAAAUAGAUUUUUCUUUCCCGAGGAAAUUUAAAAUGAGGGAAAUUAAUGUUCUAGAAUUUGUAAACUAACACGACGCAAUAUUUGCAAAUCUGUGUCAUCUGUUAAGAUUAUGAUGUGGAACAGAGUUCCAUCUGGUAAGAUUUCGUAACCCUUGGGAUCUCAGACAAAUCUGAUUAUGUCGGCGGUGUUCUAUAUAAACCGUCGUGGUUAUUUCAAUUCUUGUCAUUAAGUAGAUCUACCGACGUAGGAUAAGAAAAUCAAAGAAAAAAAUUGUUAACAAAAAUUCUUAUUAAGACGACCGUUAAAAUUAAAGGUACGACGUAUAAAAUGAAUAAAUACGACGUUAAAUUUUAUUGUACGAUUUAAAGAUAACGUCGUAGAACUAUACGAGAAUGACGUCGAUAUAUUUAUAUUUUCCGUCGUUGUAAAUUAAUUUAAUACGGCGAUAUUUUGUAUUUUAAAGCCGUGGAUUUGUUUGUAAUUAUACGGCGUCUUAUACGAAAACCUCGUCGUGUUAUUUUAUGAGGAAAAACGGCAGUUUUUAUUGAAAUCGUCGUCUUUACUUUCUACGUCGGUCGAUUCAUAACUUCUGCCGUUCUUUGUUGGCAUUGAUUUUACACUGCGGAAAUCUGUUUCAAAUAGACGUCGGUUGUUUAAUUAUGUACGUCGUUGUUUUUGAACAACCAUUUGAAUCUCCAUUUUUUAGUUGUCUAAGGUUGUAUUACACGACGGUGUUUUUAGAACCGUCGUCUUUUUAUAAACCACGACGGUUUUCACUUAGACCGUCGUUGUUUUCUGGUCGUCUUUUUCACUUUUUGUAGUUGUGCCCACUUGAUUAUCUGCCAGACAAUCUAACGUCCUUAUUUAAUUUAAAAUAUUUAAAUUUGUUUGGAACUCCAAUUACGGAGCUUCCAGAAUCCAUUGGACAGCUCGGCAACCUUCAGACCUUGAACAUCACGGAGACAAAAAUAGAGGCACUUCCAAGAGUUCCAAGUUGCUAAACUUGCGCCAUUUACUUGUGGGGAGGUUCCAAGAGGGAUUUCCAGGAUAGAUUUCCAGAAAGGUAAUUGGGGUAAGAAUACCAUCAAGUAUUAGGAAGAUGAAGAAAUUGCAAUCUUUGUUACGUAUUGAAUCAGAAGGAAACAUUAUUAGACUUAUUGGAAGUAUGACCCAGCUUAAAUUCCUUGGCAUUACAAAUGUGAAAGAAAGAGACGAGGAGGACCUAUGUGCCUCAAUUCAAGAGAUGAAGGUCCUUUCCCGCUUGUUUUUAUUUGUAUCUCAUGGAGAGGAAUUUCUUCGAGUUGACGCAUUGUCUUCACCGUCUCCCUACCUUGAUAGACUUGAAUUGGUCGGCAAACUGGAAAAGGUUCCACAUUGGUUUUGUU